This 372-nucleotide ribosomal RNA is filed under the name uncultured bacterium. RNAcentral's name for it is "bacterial SSU rRNA". It matches the Rfam family "Bacterial small subunit ribosomal RNA", at positions 527 to 896 of the family's 1533-position model. The record is from RNAcentral.
GUAGGAGGCGAGCGUUGUCCGGAAUCAUUGGGCGUAAAGAGCGCGCAGGCGGCUUGGCAAGUCGGGUGUGAAAUCCCGGGGCUCAACCCCGUGACUGCAUCCGAUACUGUCAGGCUAGAGGUAGGUAGGGGAGAUCGGAAUUCCUGGUGUAGCGGUGAAAUGCGCAGAUAUCAGGAGGAACACCGGUGGCGAAGGCGGAUCUCUGGGCCUUACCUGACGCUCAGGCGCGAAAGCUAGGGGAGCGAACAGGAUUAGAUACCCUGGUAGUCCUAGCCGUAAACGUUGGGUGCUAGGUGUGGGCGGAUAUCAACCCCGUCCGUGCCGAAGCUAACGCAUUAAGCACCCCGCCUGGGGAGUACGGCCGCAAGGCUA